RNAcentral lists this ribosomal RNA (274 nucleotides) under uncultured bacterium. Its description in RNAcentral is "partial 16S ribosomal RNA". It matches the Rfam family "Bacterial small subunit ribosomal RNA", at positions 523 to 796 of the family's 1533-position model. The record is from RNAcentral.
AUACGAAGGUCCCAAGCGUUAUUCGGAAUCACUGGGCGUAAAGAGUACGUAGGCGGUUUGGUAAGUCAGGCGUGAAAUCCCGGAGCUCAACUCCGGAACUGCAUCCGAUACUGCCAGACUUGAGUAAUGGAGAGGCAGGUGGAAUUCUCGGUGUAGCAGUGAAAUGCGUGGAUAUCGAGAGGAAGACCAAUGGCGAAGGCAGCCUGCUGGACAUUUACUGACGCUGAGGUACGAAGGCUAGGGGAGCGAAAGGGAUUAGAAACCCCGGUAGUCC